UGCCAGCAGCCGCGGUAAUACGGAGGGAUCGAACGUUAAUCGGAAUUACUGGGCGUAAAGCGCGCGUAGGCGGUUCGGUAAGUGGGAUGUGAAAGCCCUGGGCUCAACCCGGGAACUGCAUUCCAAACUGCCGGACUAGAGUAUGGUAGAGGGAGGUAGAAUUUCCUGUGUAGCGGUGAAAUGCGUAGAUAUAGGAAGGAAUACCGAUGGCGAAGGCAGCCUCCUGGACCAAUACUGACGCUGAGGUGCGAAAGCGUGGGGAGCAAACAGGAUUAGAUA
RNAcentral lists this ribosomal RNA (279 nucleotides) under uncultured bacterium. Its description in RNAcentral is "partial 16S ribosomal RNA". It matches the Rfam family "Bacterial small subunit ribosomal RNA", at positions 506 to 784 of the family's 1533-position model. The record is from RNAcentral.